CGAACCGGGGGAACUGAAACAUCUAAGUACCCCGAGGAAAAGAAAUCAACCGAGAUUCCCCCAGUAGCGGCGAGCGAACGGGGAGCAGCCCAGAGCCUGAAUCAGUGUGUGUGUUAGUGGAAGCGUCUGGAAAGGCGCGCGAUACAGGGUGACAGCCCCGUACACAAAAAUGCACAUGCUGUGAGCUCGAUGAGUAGGGCGGGACACGUGGUAUCCUGUCUGAAUAUGGGGGGACCAUCCUCCAAGGCUAAAUACUCCUGACUGACCGAUAGUGAACCAGUACCGUGAGGGAAAGGCGAAAAGAACCCCGGCGAGGGGAGUGAAAAAGAACCUGAAACCGUGUACGUACAAGCAGUGGGAGCACGCUUAGGCGUGUGACUGCGUACCUUUUGUAUAAUGGGUCAGCGACUUAUAUUCUGUAGCAAGGUUAACCGAAUAGGGGAGCCGAAGGGAAACCGAGUCUUAACUGGGCGUUAAGUUGCAGGGUAUAGACCCGAAACCCGGUGAUCUAGCCAUGGGCAGGUUGAAGGUUGGGUAACACUAACUGGAGGACCGAACCGACUAAUGUUGAAAAAUUAGCGGAUGACUUGUGGCUGGGGGUGAAAGGCCAAUCAAACCGGGAGAUAGCUGGUUCUCCCCGAAAGCUAUUUAGGUAGCGCCUCGUGAAUUCAUCUCCGGGGGUAGAGCACUGUUUCGGCAAGGGGGUCAUCCCGACUUACCAACCCGAUGCAAACUGCGAAUACCGGAGAAUGUUAUCACGGGAGACACACGGCGGGUGCUAACGUCCGUCGUGAAGAGGGAAACAACCCAGACCGCCAGCUAAGGUCCCAAAGUCAUGGUUAAGUGGGAAACGAUGUGGGAAGGCCCAGACAGCCAGGAUGUUGGCUUAGAAGCAGCCAUCAUUUAAAGAAAGCGUAAUAGCUCACUGGUCGAGUCGGCCUGCGCGGAAGAUGUAACGGGGCUAAACCAUG
Molecule: ribosomal RNA, 971 nt
Filed under: Escherichia coli
Lineage: Bacteria; Pseudomonadati; Pseudomonadota; Gammaproteobacteria; Enterobacterales; Enterobacteriaceae
Description: partial 23S ribosomal RNA
Rfam family: Bacterial large subunit ribosomal RNA
Source: RNAcentral